UAUUGAUGAUGUGGACAUUCCCGAAGAAGAGCCUUGAAGCAUCCCCAAGAAUGAUAGAGGUUUUUAUCUGGCUUCUGUUUAAAGCUCACUAUCUCACUGCUAAGUCA
This is a non-coding RNA of Capsicum annuum, 107 nucleotides long. The record is from Rfam. Lineage: Eukaryota; Viridiplantae; Streptophyta; Magnoliopsida; Solanales; Solanaceae.